CUUUUUCCUCAGCGCUGUGCUCGGCGGCGGUGUUCCCCUCCCCCUCCCCGCACCCACCUCGUCCAUUCGUCGACGUGUGUCGCCUCUUUUCUGCAUAUUUCUUUUCCCUUCUGCUUCACAGACGUGCGCACAAGCUCUCCCGCUGUCCUGUCGUCGUUUUUUUUUUUGCCCUGAACAACUCGUCUGCCGCAUUGCUGCACCGAAGAGUUCCCAUCACGAGACACGAUUGAAUCCACCAAUGGAAUCGCGUACAAAAUUCAAGGCAGACACGCCCGUGCAACUGCCACCAGCCAUCGACCCGGUGCGUGAGCACUACCCGUUCUGCAUUGUUUGGUCGCCUAUUCCGGUUCUGUCGUGGAUUCUGCCGUUCGUGGGUCACACCGCCGUAUGCGACAGCCAGGGCCGCAUCUAUGACUUCCAAGGGGCAUACCGAAUUGGGCAAGACCGCAUGCUGUUCGGCAACCCCGUCAAGUACUGGGACGUCUCCCGCGACUACAUCCCGUCCUUCUACAACGCCGAUCAGCAUAACUCGGCAGAGAGGGAGGAGGCAGUGAAGCGUGAGGUGGCCGCGUACGAUGCAGCCCUCAUGUCCACCAUCAGCCAUUUCCGCCAGACUGAGGUGUACAACUUUUUCACGAACAACUGCCACUCUUUCGUGGCGGCGUCGAUGAACGAGCAGCAGCUCAAGAAGCAGCACAUGGGGAUCGUGAGUAUCGCGAUUGGGAUGAUGAGGCAUGGUCGCUACAUCAGCUUUAGCCGCUUCCUGAAGGCACAUCUGCCCUCGGUCCUACUCGUCGUCAUCAUCCUCAUCCUCGCCACCCUGCUGUAAAACUCUGUGCUGCUCCGCUAUCGAUUAGGUACUUUGCUUCCUAUGCUUUAACACAUAUCCCGUGUUCUGCCCGUGCAACGCGAGCUGCACGCCACUCCACGCCCCUCCAGCCGGCCCCGUCACACCGGCCCACAUCGCCUGGCGCGAGGCAGCGGUAGGCAUACGCGGUACAGCACUGCGCCAACACAGUCACCUGGGUACGGCCUCCGUCCCAAGCGCUACACAGCCGCACCCUCCUUGAGAGUGGCGCAGGCUCCCUGCACCGCUGGGCAGAGUGAGGGCCCCGGAGGGGGAGGGAGAGGGGGGAGAUGUGUUCGAGCCACGCUGGCCGCUCCGACGCCACGCCCUCCACAACCUCGGCAGCGACAUCAGCAGCGAUACAUCGCUCUGACCUCCCCUACGUCGUCGGUGCUGGGCCCCGCCACCACCCGAGGUGGCUGGGGCAUUUGGCAGGGGUUUAGGGGUUGGGGGGGGGGGGCUGGCUCGCUUCCCCACAGCCACAAACACACACACACACACAGAGUGGGGUGCGUGCUGGGCCCUGCGACACGACGCACUGAGGGGUGCACCCUCCACCCCCCUCGUCGUCCGGGAGUGCAGCGUUACAGCUGAAAUUGCAAAGACCUGCGUAGCAUUCGCAUUUUCAGCUAUUAUUCGCAACUUUCACUCCAUCUUUUCUGUUUCCCUGACGACACCAUCGCGCAUGUGCACCUCAUCCGACCACUGCAUCAAAG
RNAcentral lists this unclassified non-coding RNA (1563 nucleotides) under Leishmania donovani. RNAcentral describes it as "gene:LdHU3.27.1180(CDS-product:Protein_of_unknown _function_(DUF778)_putative)". The record is from RNAcentral. Lineage: Eukaryota; Euglenozoa; Kinetoplastea; Trypanosomatida; Trypanosomatidae.